AGAGUUUGAUCAUGGCUCAGGAUGAACGCUAGCGGCAGGCUUAACACAUGCAAGUCGAGGGGCAUCGCGGGUAGCAAUACCUGGCGGCGACCGGCGAAAGGGUGAGUAACGCGUGAGCAACAUGCCCGAUACUGGGGGAUAGUCGAUGGAAACGUCGCGUAAUACCCCGUAACACACGGGACCGCAUGGUUCUAUGUUGAAAGAUUGAUUGGUAUCGGAUUGGCUCGCGUGCCAUUAGCUAGAUGGCGGGGUAACGGCCCACCAUGGCGACGAUGGCUAGGGGUUCUGAGAGGAAGGUCCCCCACAUUGGAACUGAGACACGGUCCAGACUCCUACGGGAGGCAGCAGUGAGGAAUAUUGGACAAUGGCCGGAAGGCUGAUCCAGCCAUGCCGCGUGCGGGAAGACGGCCCUAUGGGUUGUAAACCGCUUUUGCGGGGGAGCAAUAAGUUGUACGUGUACAACGAUGAGAGUACCCUGCGAAUAAGCAUCGGCUAACUCCGUGCCAGCAGCCGCGGUAAUACGGAGGAUGCAAGCGUUAUCCGGAUUUAUUGGGUUUAAAGGGAGCGCAGGCGGCUGUUUAAGCGUGCCGUGAAAUGCCGUGGCUCAACCAUGGCACUGCGGCGCGAACUGGGCGGCUUGAGUCGGCGGAAGGUGCGCGGAAUUCGUGGUGUAGCGGUGAAAUGCUUAGAUAUCACGAGGAACUCCGAUUGCGAAGGCAGCGCGCCGCAGCUGUACUGACGCUCAUGCUCGAAGGCGCGGGUAUCGAACAGGAUUAGAUACCCUGGUAGUCCGCGCGGUAAACGAUGGACGCCCGCUGUGUGCCAUUGCGGUACGCGGCCAAGCGAAAGCGUUAAGCGUCCCACCUGGGGAGUACGCCGGCAACGGUGAAACUCAAAGGAAUUGACGGGGGCCCGCACAAGCGGAGGAACAUGUGGUUUAAUUCGAUGAUACGCGAGGAACCUUACCCGGGCUUGAACUGCAGGGGAACGAUUCAGAGAUGAUGAGGUCCUUCGGGACUCCUGUGGAGGUGCUGCAUGGUUGUCGUCAGCUCGUGCCGUGAGGUGUCGGCUUAAGUGCCAUAACGAGCGCAACCCCUUCCGGUAGUUGCCAUCAGGUGAAGCUGGGCACUCUGCCGGUACUGCCACCGUAAGGUGCGAGGAAGGUGGGGAUGACGUCAAAUCAGCACGGCCCUUACGUCCGGGGCUACACACGUGUUACAAUGGGGGGUACAGAGAGCUGGCGCUGCGCGAGCCGCGCCGAAUCCUCAAAGCCUCCCUCAGUUCGGACCGGGGUCUGCAACCCGACCCCGCGAAGCUGGAUUCGCUAGUAAUCGCGCAUCAGCCAUGGCGCGGUGAAUACGUUCCCGGGCCUUGUACACACCGCCCGUCAAGCCAUGAAAGCCGGGGGCGCCUGAAGUCCGUGACCGUAAGGAGCGGCCUAAGGCAAAACUGGUGACUGGGGCUAAGUCGUAACAAGGUAGCC
Molecule: ribosomal RNA, 1483 nt
Filed under: uncultured rumen bacterium
Lineage: Bacteria
Description: bacterial SSU rRNA
Rfam family: Bacterial small subunit ribosomal RNA
Source: RNAcentral